Molecule: unclassified non-coding RNA, 479 nt
Filed under: Hevea brasiliensis (rubber tree)
Lineage: Eukaryota; Viridiplantae; Streptophyta; Magnoliopsida; Malpighiales; Euphorbiaceae
Source: RNAcentral
GGAACACAUUUCAAUUUUCAAGUUUAUAAGUAAAAAAUCAUACAUAUAACUCAAGCAUUGCAAUAAGAAAAAUUUUACAACUUGCAAAGUAAGAAUUAUGAAACUGAGUCUAUUAGUCUAGCAACAAACUUUUGACAUUAAUUGACGAUGCGUUGCUUAGAUAAAUUUUCCUCACUGCUGCUAGAAAAAUCUGAUAAUAAGGAAAGGAUGUUUCAAAAAAAGAAAAGAUCUUCAAAACAUAUUUUCCUGCUAAUAUCAUUUGUCUAGUCAUAUAUAAGAACAGAGGAAAAACAUUGUUGAGUUUGUGUGCAUAGGGACAGAAAUUCUCCAACACAUUAUGCUUUCCCAAUCCAACACACUGAUAUUAAAAGAUGGCCAAGAAGGUAGUGGCGGAACUAGGAAUUAGCGUUAAGGGGGCGAAAAUCUUAUAAUUUUUUUCCCUAUUGUGAAAAAUGAGUAGUCACUCUCAAUUUGAGUUA